This 433-nucleotide ribosomal RNA is filed under the name uncultured bacterium. Its description in RNAcentral is "partial 16S ribosomal RNA". It matches the Rfam family "Bacterial small subunit ribosomal RNA", at positions 29 to 507 of the family's 1533-position model. The record is from RNAcentral.
AACGAACGCUGGCGGCAUGCCUAACACAUGCAAGUCGAACGAGACCUUCGGGUCUAGUGGCGCACGGGUGCAUAACGCGUGGGAACCUGCCUUUAGGUUCGGAAUAACUCAGAGAAAUUUGAGCUAAUACCGGAUGAUGUCUUCGGACCAAAGAUUUAUCGCCUUUAGAUGGGCCCGCGUUGGAUUAGCUAGUUGGUGGGGUAAAGGCCUACCAAGGCGACGAUCCAUAGCUGGUCUGAGAGGAUGAUCAGCCACACUGGGACUGAGACACGGCCCAGACUCCUACGGGAGGCAGCAGUGGGGAAUAUUGGACAAUGGGCGAAAGCCUGAUCCAGCAAUGCCGCGUGAGUGAUGAAGGCCUUAGGGUUGUAAAGCUCUUUUACCCGAGAUGAUAAUGACAGUAGCGGGAGAAUAAGCUCCGGCUAACUCCGUG